UACGAAGGGGGCUAGCGUUGCUCGGCCUCACUGGGCGUAAGGCGCACGUGGGCGGACGAUUAAGUCAGAGGUGAAAGCCUGGAGCUCAACUCCAGAACUGCCUUUGAUACUGGUUGUCUUGAGUUCGGAAGAGGUUGGUGGAACUGCGAGUGUAGAGGUGAAAUUCGUAGAUAUUCGCAAGAACACCGGUGGCGAAGGCGGCCAACUGGUCCGAUACUGACGCUGAGGUGCGAAAGCGUGGGGAUCAAACAGG
This 253-nucleotide ribosomal RNA is filed under the name uncultured bacterium. Its description in RNAcentral is "partial 16S ribosomal RNA". It matches the Rfam family "Bacterial small subunit ribosomal RNA", at positions 524 to 776 of the family's 1533-position model. The record is from RNAcentral.